GACGUAGGGCGCGAGCGUUGUCCGGAUUUAUUGGGCGUAAAGAGCUCGUAGGCGGCUUGUCGCGUCGACUGUGAAAACCCGCGGCUCAACUGCGGGCCUGCAGCCGAUACGGGCAGGCUAGAGUUCGGUAGGGGAGACUGGAAUUCCUGGUGUAGCGGUGAAAUGCGCAGAUAUCAGGAGGAACACCGAUGGCGAAGGCGGCCCUCUGGCUCGACCCUGACGCUGAGGCGCGAAAGCGUGGGGAGCGAACGGG
RNAcentral lists this ribosomal RNA (253 nucleotides) under uncultured bacterium. RNAcentral describes it as "partial 16S ribosomal RNA". It matches the Rfam family "Bacterial small subunit ribosomal RNA", at positions 524 to 776 of the family's 1533-position model. The record is from RNAcentral.